Molecule: ribosomal RNA, 404 nt
Filed under: Porphyromonas gingivalis
Lineage: Bacteria; Pseudomonadati; Bacteroidota; Bacteroidia; Bacteroidales; Porphyromonadaceae
Description: bacterial SSU rRNA
Rfam family: Bacterial small subunit ribosomal RNA
Source: RNAcentral
AGGCAGCUUGCCAUACUGCGACUGACACUGAAGCACGAAGGCGUGGGUAUCAAACAGGAUUAGAUACCCUGGUAGUCCACGCAGUAAACGAUGAUUACUAGGAGUUUGCGAUAUACCGUCAAGCUUCCACAGCGAAAGCGUUAAGUAAUCCACCUGGGGAGUACGCCGGCAACGGUGAAACUCAAAGGAAUUGACGGGGGCCCGCACAAGCGGAGGAACAUGUGGUUUAAUUCGAUGAUACGCGAGGAACCUUACCCGGGAUUGAAAUGUAGAUGACGGAUGGUGAAAACCGUCUUCCCUUCGGGGCGUCUAUGUAGGUGCUGCAUGGUUGUCGUCAGCUCGUGCCGUGAGGUGUCGGCUUAAGUGCCAUAACGAGCGCAACCCACAUCGGUAUUGCCUAACAG